GGACUACUGGGGUAUCUAAUCCUGUUUGCUCCCCUAGCUUUCGUGCAUCAGCGUCAGUUAUGGUCCAGUGAGCCGCUUUCGCCACAGGUGUUCCUCCUGAUAUCUACGCAUUUCACCGCUACACCAGGAAUUCCACUCACCUCUCCCAUACUCAAGCCCGGCAGUUUCCGAUGCAGACUAUGAGUUGAGCCCAUAGAUUUCACAUCAGACUUACCAAACCGCCUACGCACCCUUUACGCCCAAUAAUUCCGAACAACGCUCGCCCCCCUCGUAUUACCGCGGCUGCUGGCAC
RNAcentral lists this ribosomal RNA (292 nucleotides) under uncultured Acidobacteriota bacterium. RNAcentral's name for it is "uncultured Acidobacteria bacterium partial 16S ribosomal RNA". The record is from RNAcentral. Lineage: Bacteria; Pseudomonadati; Acidobacteriota.